CCUACGGGUGGCAGCAGUAGGGAAUCUUCCACAAUGGACGAAAGUCUGAUGGAGCAACGCCGCGUGUGUGAUGAAGGGUUUCGGCUCGUAAAACACUGUUGUAAGAGAAGAAUGACAUUGAGAGUAACUGUUCAGUGUGUGACGGUAUCUUACCAGAAAGGAACGGCUAAAUACGUGCCAGCAGCCGCGGUAAUACGUAUGUUCCAAGCGUUAUCCGGAUUUAUUGGGCGUAAAGCGAGCGCAGACGGUUAUUUUAGUUCGGAGUUGAAAGCCCACGCCUAAAUGGUGAAGGGCCUUUGGAACUGGAUAACUUGAGUGCAGUAGAGGAGAGUGGAACUCCAUGUGUAGCGGUGAAAUGCGUAGAUAUAUGGAAGAACACCAGUGGCGAAGGCGGCUCUCUGGACUGUAACUGACGUUGAGGCUCGAAAGCGUGGGGAGCAAACAGGAUUAGAUACCCCAGUAGUC
This 465-nucleotide ribosomal RNA is filed under the name uncultured Weissella sp. RNAcentral describes it as "bacterial SSU rRNA". It matches the Rfam family "Bacterial small subunit ribosomal RNA", at positions 338 to 795 of the family's 1533-position model. Lineage: Bacteria; Bacillati; Bacillota; Bacilli; Lactobacillales; Lactobacillaceae. The record is from RNAcentral.